GACGAACGCUGGCGGCGUGCUUAACACAUGCAAGUCGAGCGGUAAGGCCCUUUCGGGGGUACGACGAGCGGCGAACGGGUGAGUAUCACGUGAGAAACCUGCCCCGAAGACCGGGAUAACACCGGGAAACCGGUGCUAAUACCGGAUGCCCUCACCGGAUCGCAUGGUCUGGUGAGGAAAUGGAUUCCGCUUCGGGAUGGUCUCGCGGCCUAUCAGCUUGUUGGUGGGGUAAUGGCCCACCAAGGCUCGACGGGUAGCUGGUCUGAGAGGAUGUCCAGCCACACUGGGACUGAGACACGGCCCAGACUCCUACGGGAGGCAGCAGUAGGGAAUCUUGCACAAUGGAACGAAAGUCUGAUGCAGCGACGCCGCGUGUGGGAUGACUGCCCUCGGGUUGUAAACCACUUUCAGCA
RNAcentral lists this ribosomal RNA (413 nucleotides) under uncultured bacterium. Its description in RNAcentral is "bacterial SSU rRNA". It matches the Rfam family "Bacterial small subunit ribosomal RNA", at positions 28 to 441 of the family's 1533-position model. The record is from RNAcentral.